UGUAUGUGCUCCUAACAGACUAAACACAAGAGAAGCAUCGGAGUCAUUGGUGUGAUUGAGUGUAAUCAUCUGAAACCAACUCACAACAAACAGGACUUUGACAACACCGACACUUACAGGAACACUAUCCAAAAUGUGGCAUCCAAGUUAAGAGAAUACAGCCUUAAAAGAAGGACCAACCCCGGCGAUAACGAACCCAUUGAGGAAACGGAUGACGAGAGGCCUGAUGAAGAUGAUCAAUUACAAGAGACCUCAGGAGAGGGCCCUUCAGGUAAGAAGAGACCAAGGCCUAAUUGUGACGAAGGAGAGCCAGAAAUGCACAUGAGCCUGAGAAGCUCUGCUGCCCCAACUCACGAGAACGUUGAGAUAAGAGGAGAGACCGGUUACUGGAGGCCAAUAGAAGCCUAACGCAAGAAAACCAAGACCAGGCGGCGCAAAUAGAUGAACUGAACUUAAAG
This 458-nucleotide long non-coding RNA is filed under the name Gadus morhua (Atlantic cod). RNAcentral describes it as "lncRNA (ENSGMOG00000033743.1)". Lineage: Eukaryota; Metazoa; Chordata; Actinopteri; Gadiformes; Gadidae. The record is from RNAcentral.